UGAGUACGAGCUGCUACGGCAGCGAAGUGGGUGAUGUCAAGCUUCCAAGAAAAGCCCUAUACCCGUUAAGGCAUGAUGGCCUGUACCCGAAACCGACACAGGUGGGGUGGUAGAGAAUACCGAGGGGCGCGAGAUAACUCUCUCUAAGGAACUCGGCAAAAUGGCCCCGUAACUUCGGGAGAAGGGGUGCCACCGCAAGGUGGUCGCAGUGAAGAGGCCCAGGCGACUGUUUACCAAAAACACAGGUCUCCGCUAAGUCGCAAGACGAUGUAUGGGGGCUGACGCCUGCCCAGUGCCGGAAGGUUAAGGAAGCUGGUCAGCGCAAGCGAAGCUAGCGACUGAAGCCCCGGUGAACGGCGGCCGUAACAAUAACGGUCCUAAGGUAGCGAAAUUCCUUGUCGGGUAAGUUCCGACCCGCACGAAAGGCGUAACGAUCUGGGCGCUGUCUCGGAGAGAGGCUCGGCGAAAUAGAAUUGUCUGUGAAGAUGCGGACUACGUGCACCCGGACAGAAAGACCCUAUGAAGCUUUACUGUAGCUUGGUAUUGUGCUCGGGCUCGGAAUGCGCAGGAUAGGUGGGAGGCUAUGAACCAUUGCUUGUGGGUGAUGGUGAGCCACUGGUGAGAUACCACUCUUUCCGAGCUAGAGUUCUAACAGCCACCCGUUAUCCGGGGGCUGGACAGUAUCAGGUGGGCAGUUUGACUGGGGCGGUCGCCACCUAAAAGGUAACGGAGGCGCGCAAAGGUUUGCUCAGGCUGGUUGGAAAUCAGCCGACGAGUGUAAAAGCAGAAGCAAGCUUGACUGUGAGACCUACAAGUCGAACAGGGAGGAAACUCGGCUUUAGUGAUCCGACGGUUCUGCGUGGAAGGGCCGUCGCUCAACGGAUAAAAGUUACUCUAGGGAUAACAGGCUGAUCUCCCCCAAGAGUUCACAUCGACGGGGCGGUUUGGCACCUCGAUGUCGGCUCAUCGCAACCUGGGGCUGAAGUCGGUCCCAAGGGUUGGGCUGUUCGCCCAUUAAAGCGGUACGCGAGCUGGGUUCAGAACGUCGUGAGACAGUUCGGUCCAUAUCCGGUGCAUGCGCAGGAAUAUUGAGAGGAUUUCUCCCUAGUACGAGAGGACCGGGAGGAACGCACCUCUGGUGUACCAGUUAUCGUGCCAACGGUAAACGCUGGGUAGCCAUGUGCGGAGAGGAUAACCGCUGAAAGCAUCAAAGUGGGAAGCCCACCUCAAGAUGAGUAUUCCCAUGGGGUAACCCAGUAAGGUCACGGGAAGAACACCCGUUGAUAGGCUCUACGUGGAAGCGCAGUAAUGUGUGAAGCGGAGGAGUACUAAUAGACCGAGGGCUUGAUA
Molecule: ribosomal RNA, 1350 nt
Filed under: metagenome
Description: bacterial LSU rRNA
Rfam family: Bacterial large subunit ribosomal RNA
Source: RNAcentral